This is a long non-coding RNA of Poecilia latipinna (sailfin molly), 1662 nucleotides long. RefSeq lists it as uncharacterized. NCBI's taxonomy places the organism in Eukaryota, Metazoa, Chordata, Actinopteri, Cyprinodontiformes, Poeciliidae. The transcript has 2 exons. The record is from RefSeq and is a predicted model, not a curated record.
GCAGUGGGAACAGUAACAUACAGAGACACCGGGGCCCCAUGGGGGCCCCGGCAGACGGAGGGGAGCGAGGGCUGCUCCUUCGCCAGAGCAGUGCCUCAGAGGGGCUGGACUCCAGAGCUUCCCAUCCAAAAUAAUCUCACCUCCAAUAUAUCAUGGAUUCUUCAUCCAUCCAUUUACAGCCCGUUGCCAUUAACACACAUCCUUCUGGUCGCCGUCGACUACCCUGAUGGAUGUUGCUUAAAGGCUUUCCCUCCAUUGAGGAGAACGAGUCACAAAGAAAAGGGGAUUCUUUUCUUGUUGAUGAGAGAAAGUUGUUGCAAUGAAAUUUAAUAUUCAGACGCAUCUGGGAAACAGUCCGUGGUAGCAAGCUCCUCUCAUCCUCUCUGCUGCACUCGCUUCUGCUGGGCAGCAGCUCCUCGGCCCGUCCACACAUCGUUUCUCACAGCUGUUUGAACCACAUUGUGACACGGAGGGGGAGCAGGCUUUGGUUCUGAACUGAGACCAAUGGCGUUGUUCUGAUUCACAUGUUCAUUUUUUUUUUAAUGGUGCAGGCUUUUUUGCACCUAUGCUCUCCAUAUUACCAGUUUCUCUGGUGCUUUCUCUCGCCUCUCAUGCAAACUGCAAGAACAGCAUGAUGGAAAAUUUUAUCCGUUUUGAAACGACUCAAAACAUUGAAUUACCGCAGCACAGGCAGCCAGCCCACGCCUAGUUACAAACCACUUGGGAACAUUGCAUUUAAUUUGAAAUUAGAUUAAGCUGUUUCCUAAAUUAAUCAUCAACAUUUUCACAAAAAUAAUGAUUUAAUCUGUUUAAGAGAAAGUCUUACCAGUUCUGACCAAAGUCUCUCCUCUUCUCCUCCAUCCCAUCCUCUCCAUGUGCCGUUGGCAGCACAGUGUGUUUUAAAUGGACGUAGAAUCAAGUGAUGCUAAGACUUGAUUCUACCGUCACAUAUUGUGUUUUUGUUUAAUAGUGAAACCAGGAACCUACCAUUGAUGAGGUCAUGAGUGCAAAUAAUUUACAUUUGAUUUUUUGCAACAGGAAAGAGAAGAUGUUUUUUUUCAUAUUCCAGUUUGUUGAAUUAGUACAAGAUUCUCGUAAAUGUUGGUUAUUUGGAUUUAGAAUGGGUUUGUUGCUUUUUUCCAUAGAUAUUCUCAUUGAAGGAAACAACAUGUGUAAGCAGAAACCCUGACUCCAUGUUUCUGCUUCUCUUCACAUAGAUCAUACAGCUCAGCUAGCUCAAAAGACUCCACAAUCUACUGCAGAAGUAGGCUAGCUCUGCUUCUGAGCUAGUCUGUUAGUGUUGAAGUUUGUGUGAACCUCAGCCAAAGGUCGGAGACAGCCAUAUAUUUUUAACGUCUUGUAUGAACAAUCUAAAAUUAUCAAAUAAAAAAAAAAAUCAAAGCAUCUAUCCAUAACAAACAAAUCCCUCUGGUCAGAUUCAGAUGGAAAUACAGUGACUUAAGAAAUCCAAGCAUUCCUUUUCGAUUGUGACGUUAAUACUGCGAAGACAGAAGUGAUGCGACAUAUUGUGCGGCUCUACAACUGCUAUUGUCAAUAUGCAGAUUUUCUUUCUCCUCUGCCAAAAACUCGUGGAAAUCAUUAAGAUAAUGUUGAUGUUCUAAUUUUGAUCUACUCUGUCUCAGCUGAAUUUAUAGUGUAUAA